UUGACAACCUGUUGCUUUUGGGAAGGGACGGACUUUACUCCAGAAAGGACUCAAACGUAAAUCUUUGAACAUGAGCAACUUUGCAAAGGAGUUCUCCAGGUGAAGGAGGAGUGAUUACAUGACCCUUGGGGUUCCUUUACCUCGAUCAUCACUGAUACUUGAGUGGAGCAGGACAUAGGGAAUGAAUACAAAGGAAAGCAACAGCCUUUCAGAGUUGGAAAGGUUUGACAGGUCCUGACUGAUUUGGGGAUAAGUAGUGUCAGCAGCUUAUGCAGGGGAAGCAGAUGCAUGACCUCAGGGCCUGGCAGCUUACUACAGAAUGGGAGAUGAAACCUGGAAAAGAAAAAAAGCCAAACCACAACUCAGUCCCAAAUGCCCAAUCACUAGGAGGAAACAUUCACAGCAAGGCAGCAGGGUGAGGAGGAUCAGAGACACCACAGGAACCUGGCACUGGCUCUUCUUGGUCUGGCUCCCUUACCUGCUCCAGCUCCUCAUAGACACGGCUACGUCUCAGUUUCCCCUUGACUGGAGUUUCAUUGUCCUGGCAUCUCACUAUUCGCUUCAGCACUGGUCUGUCCAACUUCUCUGGCAUGGAC
Mauremys mutica (yellowpond turtle) is the source of this 596-nucleotide long non-coding RNA. RefSeq lists it as uncharacterized. NCBI's taxonomy places the organism in Eukaryota, Metazoa, Chordata, Testudines, Geoemydidae. The transcript has 5 exons. The record is from RefSeq and is a predicted model, not a curated record.